AUGAGCUCCCGUGGUGGACAGACUCUCGAGGAAGACACCUCUCAUCCUGCUGGUCUUCUUGGUUUCACGUCGUUCUCCACUUGGGACGGAGGAAGACGUGGCCUGCCGCUAAAUAUCUUAACAACUAACUGCGGGGAGAAAAGAUUCCUGAUAGCUUUUGCCAGUACCUGUGGUGUAAAUAUCCCCGCGGUGGCGGCGAUCAAGUUGCCCAAGGAGCAUCACUGGACCCCGAAUGGGAGGAGAGACAGGCCGUUCUGCCGCCUGCACGCUGGGAGAACCUGCUCCGGCGACCCCUGGAGGCGACUCAGAUCCCCAGGUCCAGACUUUGCUUCAGGAAGCAGUCACUGUGUGCGAAGAGGCUGUGCAGAGAGUCGUGCAGGGACCCACGUUCAGCACGCCACUCCCAAGCCUGCUGCUCUCCCGCUGAGUAAGAGCUUAAGGACGGGUGAUGCCGUGUGUCCAGGUGUGUUGGCCGGUGACGGUCCGCUUGACGGAAGCACCUCCAUUUGCCUGAGUAUCUGGUGUCUGGUCUGCCUCCAGAGCUGCUCUGCCCAGGUGGGUGAUGGUGAAGCCAGGUCCUGGCCCCUCCCUUAUGUCUGUUUCCGUCGUCGUCGUCGUCGUUAUUAUUAUUAUUGUCAUUAUCCUCACAGCAACCCUGUGAAGUAG
This 666-nucleotide long non-coding RNA is filed under the name Sus scrofa (pig). RNAcentral's name for it is "lncRNA (ENSSSCG00030061186.1)". The record is from RNAcentral. Lineage: Eukaryota; Metazoa; Chordata; Mammalia; Artiodactyla; Suidae.